GUAGGUGGCAAGCGUUGUCCGGAAUUAUUGGGCGUAAAGCGCGCGCAGGCGGUUCUUUAAGUCUGAUGUGAAAGCCCACGGCUCAACCGUGGAGGGUCAUUGGAAACUGGAGAACUUGAGUACAGAAGAGGAAAGCGGAAUUCCACGUGUAGCGGUGAAAUGCGUAGAGAUGUGGAGGAACACCAGUGGCGAAGGCGGCUUUCUGGUCUGUAACUGACGCUGAGGUGCGAAAGCGUGGGGGAGCAAACAGGAUUAGAUACCCUGGUAGUCCACGCCGUAAACGAUGAGUGCUAAGUGUUAGGGGGUUUCCGCCCCUUAGUGCUGCAGCUAACGCAUUAAGCACUCCGCCUGGGAGUACGGCCGCAAGGCUG
RNAcentral lists this ribosomal RNA (371 nucleotides) under uncultured organism. RNAcentral describes it as "partial 16S ribosomal RNA". It matches the Rfam family "Bacterial small subunit ribosomal RNA", at positions 527 to 896 of the family's 1533-position model. The record is from RNAcentral.